CCUACGGGUGGCUGCAGUGGGGAGUAUUGGACAAUGGGCGAAAGCCUGAUCCAGCCAUGCCGCGUGUGUGAAGAAGGCCUUCGGGUUGUAAAGCACUUUCAGUGGGGAAGAAAGCCUUGGGGCUAAUACCCUCGAGGAAGGACAUCACCCACAGAAGAAGCACCGGCUAACUCCGUGCCAGCAGCCGCGGUAAUACGGAGGGUGCGAGCGUUAAUCGGAAUUACUGGGCGUAAAGCGCGCGUAGGCGGUCUGAUAAGCCGGUUGUGAAAGCCCCGGGCUCAACCUGGGAACGGCAUCCGGAACUGUCAGGCUAGAGUGCAGGAGAGGAAGGUAGAAUUCCCGGUGUAGCGGUGAAAUGCGUAGAGAUCGGGAGGAAUACCAGUGGCGAAGGCGGCCUUCUGGACUGACACUGACGCUGAGGUGCGAAAGCGUGGGUAGCAAACAGGAUUAGAUACCCCAGUAGUC
This 465-nucleotide ribosomal RNA is filed under the name Vreelandella stevensii. RNAcentral describes it as "partial 16S ribosomal RNA". It matches the Rfam family "Bacterial small subunit ribosomal RNA", at positions 338 to 795 of the family's 1533-position model. Lineage: Bacteria; Pseudomonadati; Pseudomonadota; Gammaproteobacteria; Oceanospirillales; Halomonadaceae. The record is from RNAcentral.